This 511-nucleotide ribosomal RNA is filed under the name uncultured bacterium. RNAcentral describes it as "bacterial SSU rRNA". It matches the Rfam family "Bacterial small subunit ribosomal RNA", at positions 34 to 518 of the family's 1533-position model. The record is from RNAcentral.
CGCUGGCGGCGUGCCUAAUACAUGCAAGUCGAACGGUCUUUCUAUGGAAGCUUGCUUCCACUGAGAAGAUAGUGGCGAACGGGUGAGUAACACGUGGGUAACCUGCCCAUAAGAGGGGGAUAACAUCCGGAAACGGGUGCUAAUACCGCAUAGUUUUCUUGAUCGCAUGAUUGAGAAAGGAAAGACGGCCUUUGUGCUGUCGCUUAUGGAUGGACCCGCGGCGUAUUAGUUAGUUGGUGAGGUAAUGGCUCACCAAGACGAUGAUACGUAGCCGACCUGAGAGGGUGAUCGGCCACAUUGGGACUGAGACACGGCCCAAACUCCUACGGGAGGCAGCAGUAGGGAAUCUUCCGCAAUGGACGAAAGUCUGACGGAGCAACGCCGCGUGAGUGAAGAAAGGUUUUCGGAUCGUAAAACUCUGUUGUCAGAGAAGAACAAGUUGGAGAGUAACUGCUCCAGCCUUGACGGUAUCUGACCAGAAAGCCACGGCUAACUACGUGCCAGCAGCCGC